Molecule: ribosomal RNA, 466 nt
Filed under: Vreelandella stevensii
Lineage: Bacteria; Pseudomonadati; Pseudomonadota; Gammaproteobacteria; Oceanospirillales; Halomonadaceae
Description: partial 16S ribosomal RNA
Rfam family: Bacterial small subunit ribosomal RNA
Source: RNAcentral
CCUACGGGGGGCUGCAGUGGGGAAUAUUGGACAAUGGGGGGCAACCCUGAUCCAGCCAUGCCGCGUGUGUGAAGAAGGCCCUCGGGUUGUAAAGCACUUUCAGUGAGGAAGAACGCCUGGUGGUUAAUACCCAUCAGGAAAGACAUCACUCACAGAAGAAGCACCGGCUAACUCCGUGCCAGCAGCCGCGGUAAUACGGAGGGUGCGAGCGUUAAUCGGAAUUACUGGGCGUAAAGCGCGCGUAGGUGGCUUGAUAAGCCGGUUGUGAAAGCCCCGGGCUCAACCUGGGAACGGCAUCCGGAACUGUCAAGCUAGAGUGCAGGAGAGGAAGGUAGAAUUCCCGGUGUAGCGGUGAAAUGCGUAGAGAUCGGGAGGAAUACCAGUGGCGAAGGCGGCCUUCUGGACUGACACUGACACUGAGGUGCGAAAGCGUGGGUAGCAAACAGGAUUAGAUACCCCUGUAGUC